GAUAAACUAGCUGUCAGGGCACAUGGUGUUUUGGUGGCGCAGCUAACGCAUUAAGUUAUCCGCCUGGGGAGUACGGUCGCAAGAUUAAAACUCAAAGGAAUUGACGGGGGCCUGCACAAGCGGUGGAGCGUGUGGUUUAAUUCGAAGCAACGCGCAGAACCUUACCAACGUUUGACAUCCCUAUCGCGGAUCGUGGAGACACUUUCCUUCAAUUCGGCUGGAUAGGUGACAGGUGCUGCAUGGCUGUCGUCAGCUCGUGUCGUGAGAUGUUGGGUUAAGUCCCGCAACGAGCGCAACCCUCGCCUUUAGUUGCCAGCAUUUAGUUGGGUACUCUAAAGGAACCGCCGGUGAUAAGCCGGAGGAAGGUGGGGAUGACGUCAAGUCCUCAUGGCCCUUACGCGUUGGGCUACACACGUGCUACAAUGGCGACUACAGUGGGCAGCCACCUCGCGAGAGGGAGCUAAUCUCCAAAAGUCGUCUCAGUUCGGAUCGUUCUCUGCAACUCGAGAGCGUGAAGGCGGAAUCGCUAGUAAUCGCGGAUCAGCAUGCCGCGGUGAAUACGUUCCCAGGCCUUGUACACACCCCCCGUCCACCAUGGGAGUUGGAUUCACUCGAAGGCGUGAGCUAACCGUAAGGAGGAGGCGACACGGUACAGCUCAGGGUUAA
This 666-nucleotide ribosomal RNA is filed under the name uncultured bacterium. RNAcentral's name for it is "bacterial SSU rRNA". It matches the Rfam family "Bacterial small subunit ribosomal RNA", at positions 801 to 1484 of the family's 1533-position model. The record is from RNAcentral.